GAUGAAGAACGUAGUGAAAUGCGAUACGUAAUGUGAAUUGCAGAAUUCAGUGAAUCAUCGAAUCUUUGAACGCACAUUGCGCCCGCCAGUAUUCUGGCGGGCAUGCCUGUCUGAGCGUCAUUUCAACCCUCAAGCAACUUCUGCUUGGUGUUGGGGAUCGGCCGUCAAACGCCGCCCCCGAAAUCUAUUGGCGAUCUCGCUGUAGCUUCCUAUGCGUAGUAGUAACAUCUCGCAUCUGGAGAGCGGCGCGGUCAUGCCGUAAAACACCCAACUUCUCAGGUUGACCUCAGAUCAGGUAGGAAUACCCGCUGAACUUAAGCAUAUCAAUAAGCGGAGGA
Molecule: unclassified non-coding RNA, 338 nt
Filed under: soil metagenome
Description: partial contains 5.8S ribosomal RNA, internal transcribed spacer 2, and large subunit ribosomal RNA
Rfam family: 5.8S ribosomal RNA (bases 1-120)
Source: RNAcentral